RNAcentral lists this ribosomal RNA (305 nucleotides) under uncultured bacterium. Its description in RNAcentral is "bacterial SSU rRNA". It matches the Rfam family "Bacterial small subunit ribosomal RNA", at positions 338 to 640 of the family's 1533-position model. The record is from RNAcentral.
CCUACGGGGGGCAGCAGUGAGGAAUAUUGGUCAAUGGGCGCGAGCCUGAACCAGCCAAGUAGCGUGAAGGAUGACUGCCCUACGGGUUGUAAACUUCUUUUAUAAAGGAAUAAAGUGAGGCACGUGUGCCUUUUUGUAUGUACUUUAUGAAUAAGGAUCGGCUAACUCCGUGCCAGCAGCCGCGGUAAUACAUAGGGGGCAAGCGUUAUCCGGAAUUAUUGGGUGUAAAGGGUGCGUAGACGGAAGAACAAGUUGGUUGUGAAAUCCCUCGGCUCAACUGAGGAACUGCAACCAAAACUAUUCUC